This is a long non-coding RNA of Panthera uncia (snow leopard), 945 nucleotides long. RefSeq lists it as uncharacterized. The transcript has 3 exons. The record is from RefSeq and is a predicted model, not a curated record. Lineage: Eukaryota; Metazoa; Chordata; Mammalia; Carnivora; Felidae.
UCACCUGUAAAAUCGAGAUAAAUAACUGUGCCUACCACAUAUGGUUGUAAGGACUGAAUGAGUUUGCUUUUUUUAAUUUUUAAUAUUUAUUUAUUUUUGAGAGAGAGAGAGAGAGAGAGAGAGAGAGCGUGCGCGCAGGGGAGGGACAGAGAGAGAGGGAGACACAGAAUCCGAAGCAGGCUCCAGGCUCCGAGCUAUCAGCAACAAAGCCUGAUGCAGGGCUCGAACCCACGAACUGAGAGAUCAUGACCCAAGCUGAAGUUGGAUGCUCAACCGACUGUACCACCCAGAUGGGGAAACUGAGACCCAGAGAGGCAUAGCGGCUGCUCCAGAUCACUUACCCAGGGUGGCACCAGGAGCUUCCUAACUCCCAAUCUCGUGGUCUUGUGCUCAGUACUCUCACUUCUCCUGUGCUCAGUACUCUACACUCAGUCAGCAGCCUGGGGACUGGAACACAGGCCAGAUGAGGGAGAAGGCAGGAGAGCAAGUGGCUCCGCAGGACAGAGCUGCAACGCUCCGCCCUCCUGGGAGGGGUCACGCUAUCAUCUUUGGCGACCCAUCCCUCCCGGGUGUUUAGCCCUGCGGAUGCAGCCCAGUUUCAGAGCCACGACAAACAUCUUCUCAGCCAUGUGGCCAGAAGGCUGGGCCAAUCGAUCUCCAGCUUCUGGGUGGGAAAACCCAGGUCCGGAGAGGGGCAAUGGUGGCUGGAGGCCUGGGCUCACACGGCAGCUAUGAGCCUGAGCCCCGCUUCAGGUGCCCUUGACUCAAAACUAACCACCUCCUCCUGGUUCUGGGGGAUCUGUAGUCCCGUGAGAAGGAGCUCAGGGCUGGGCUGCCUCUGAAACUCCUGAGUCCAGGGGUAUCUUUUCUUGAGCUACCUAUUCUUUGUUGUUGUUGUUGUUAAUUUUAAGAUUAAGAAAAAAAAGUUUUAUUUAUCUUUUGAGA